GAGAAUGUAGCUCAGCGGUAGAGUACUUGCCCGGCAGGCAUGAAGCCCUAGGUUUAAUACCUAGUAUCA
Molecule: transfer RNA, 69 nt
Filed under: Heterocephalus glaber (naked mole-rat)
Lineage: Eukaryota; Metazoa; Chordata; Mammalia; Rodentia; Bathyergidae
Rfam family: tRNA
About the family: Transfer RNA (tRNA) molecules are approximately 80 nucleotides in length. Their secondary structure includes four short double-helical elements and three loops (D, anti-codon, and T loops). Further hydrogen bonds mediate the characteristic L-shaped molecular structure. tRNAs have two regions of fundamental functional importance: the anti-codon, which is responsible for specific mRNA codon recognition, and the 3' end, to which the tRNAs corresponding amino acid is attached (by aminoacyl-tRNA synthetases). tRNAs cope with the degeneracy of the genetic code in two manners: having more than one tRNA (with a specific anti-codon) for a particular amino acid; and 'wobble' base-pairing, i.e. permitting non-standard base-pairing at the 3rd anti-codon position.
Source: Rfam by way of RNAcentral